This 301-nucleotide ribosomal RNA is filed under the name uncultured bacterium. RNAcentral's name for it is "partial 16S ribosomal RNA". It matches the Rfam family "Bacterial small subunit ribosomal RNA", at positions 509 to 807 of the family's 1533-position model. The record is from RNAcentral.
CAGUAGCCGCGGGAACACGUAGGUGGCAAGCGUUGUCCGGAAUUAUUGGGCGUAAAGGGCUCGCAGGCAGUUUCUUAAGUCUGAUGUGAAGGCCCCCGGCUCAACCGGGGAGGGUCAUUGGAAACUGGGAAACUUGAGUGCAGAAGAGGAGAGUGGAAUUCCACGUGUAGCGGUGAAAUGCGUAGAGAUGUGGAGGAACACCAGUGGCGAAGGCGACUCUCUGGUCUGUAACUGACGCUGAGGAGCGAAAGCGUGGGGAGCGAACAGGAUUAGAUACCCGCGUAGUCCCUGUCUCUUAUAC